RNAcentral lists this ribosomal RNA (301 nucleotides) under uncultured bacterium. RNAcentral's name for it is "partial 16S ribosomal RNA". It matches the Rfam family "Bacterial small subunit ribosomal RNA", at positions 509 to 807 of the family's 1533-position model. The record is from RNAcentral.
CAGUAGCCGCGGUAAUACGAAGGGUGCAAGCGUUAAUCGGAAUUACUGGGCGUAAAGCGUGCGUAGGCGGUGAGUUAAGUCUGCUGUGAAAUCCCCGGGCUCAACCUGGGAAUGGCAGUGGAUACUGGCUCGCUAGAGUGUGUCAGAGGAUGGUGGAAUUCCCGGUGUAGCGGUGAAAUGCGUAGAGAUUGGGAGGAACAUCAGUGGCGAAGGCGGCCAUCUGGGACAACACUGACGCUGAGGCACGAAAGCGUGGGGAGCAAACAGGAUUAGAUACCCGAGUAGUCCCUGUCUCUUAUAC